Long non-coding RNA from Photinus pyralis (common eastern firefly), 4547 nucleotides. RefSeq lists it as uncharacterized. The transcript has 3 exons. The record is from RefSeq and is a predicted model, not a curated record. NCBI's taxonomy places the organism in Eukaryota, Metazoa, Arthropoda, Insecta, Coleoptera, Lampyridae.
UCCUUUGCACGUCACUGACAGAAUAGAACACCAAUUUUUGGUAUAUUUAAUGAGAAAAAUAUUAGAGACUUGUGCCCAGAACAAGUUGAUCUAUGGACUUGUGGUAGGUAAACUUUUGUAGAACUGGAUAUGCUGCGAUCAACGAUGCCAAAGGUUUUUGUUUAAUAUUUGACAUUGACGUUCGAAUUUUUUGUUGGCAGUUCUCACCUUUCGUUAUUCAUUAUCGGUAGUCGCUUUCAACAGAAUUGUGGUGUGUCUGAAGUGCUUUUAGUCGAAAUGCAUAACCAUUUACAUAGUAAAGCUAAGGAAUGGGAGGCUAGUUUCAUCCAUUAUUUUGAAAUGGACUAUGAAGAUUGUGAUCCUUUAUUUCCAUUGGGAAGAUAGAGGAGUGUAUCCUUAUAUAAAAGCAACUUUGUUCAUAUUUUUAUUUUAGCGUUCGUAGACGUUACCAUAGUAUAAUCCUUCAUCACUAGAUACUCAACUCCUUUUGGAAAUACAUACCGAUUUUUUCAGCGUAGCAUUUACGUAUAUGCGUUGUGGUAAUGUCCCAACAACAACUUUUGGUAUCUGAAAAAACCGUAUAUUCGUUCAAAGGGUUCCCUCCUACUGCAUAAAUUUGUUGUUACUAUUUGCCUUAUAACGUGAACUGUUGUUUGGAGAAAACAAAAUGAAACGUGGGUAGAUUUGUUCGUCGUUGGACUCCUUAUCUGUCGCAUUCCUCCAAAUCCCACCCAGAUUUACGCAGGCUCACCAAUAAAGCUCUAACGAGCCUCCGUACGUACAGAGAAUUUUAUAGGGUAGAAAAAAUGCACAAUCUAAAUUAUAUAGAUACGGAAUUAUAAUCUUGUGUGUGUGAAUUUUUGUUUAUGCAUUGUAAGGAAAUCAAUUAUUUCAUUUAUGUAUAACCCGGUUUUUUAUUUAACCGUAAGACACGUUGAUACAGUCACCCGCAGACUGGUAUCUCGGAUACAUCUGUAACAUUGCGUCUUAUGGAGCCGUUCACACACGCAUACUUCUCGCAUACAGUACCGGCGACUAAAUUUCGGUUUCCCGCUAGGUCCAGUCGCCCGGAGAUUUUACGACUUUAGGGAACUGAUGGGCUAUUGGUUCAUAUGGAACUCUUUACAGGAGGAUACCUUUUCAUUAGCAACCGGUCAGUGCUGUUCGUCACCUCCGCCCGAAGAAACAAAAUAGUCAUAAAAUGGAGCGCACCUUUGAUGUAUUGUAUAGUAAAAUGGCUUCUGCAACGUCAAUUUUAUCAGGUGUGGUGUGACUUUACAGAAACCCGCCCGCCACUGCACUGAAAAUCGAAGUACCUCACUGCGUAAGGCUGGAAUUCUGAUGACAAAGAUACAGUAUUUCGCAUACAGUACCACCGUGUAAAAGAGCUCUAAGGAAGCUAAAAGAUGCAAAUAGAGUAAAUAAAUAAAUACUGCACUAUGUGUGCAUAUUUAGGGUGAGAUAAAUGAAUCAGAUCAUUGUAAUAAGGUAAGAACAAAGAGAUCCGAGUUAAAUACGUCUAUCGCAACCCAAAGUUAAAUGACAAAUAAUGAGACAGGAGGCUUUAAGCGGCGUUACAUGGGGCGAACCUGCGCCGCGUUGUCGCAAAGCGCGAGGUGCAAUUUUAAGUCAAUCAGUCCUCUGAAUGGAUCCCGAAGACUGAAAUUAAUCCAAUAGCGAAAAUCAUAUCGAUCGAGCCACCGUCAUGCUGCGGACGAAGGUUUUCGCAGCAUUUCGAAGAAAGAAAACAAGAAGCUUGAACAUAUCCACGGCGUACCAGGAUGCCAGAAGCGGCGUAGGUAGGUGCGGAUAGCGCCGAUCCUGACGAACGGAGUUAGGUCAGAGCCGGGACGUGAUGACAUGCGGUGGCGACGUCUUGAGCCAAAGCGACCAGCCUCAGUUGCUUAUGUAGGGAAGGUAGGCUUGCCCAGGCACAAGUGGUUUUUGCUGGCCCUUGGUGGUGCUUAUUAACAAUUCGUCGAGGCGUCCGGCGUUGCGGCGAAUGGGGCGUUUGCUGGUAGUGGGGUCCUUCCCUGGCGUUCCUAACAACGGCGGGAAGUCUAUAGUCGGUCCGUGCAUAGUACAGCUGGAUGCAAGAUAACUCUCCUUGUGAGUGAAAGCCGUGACCCGAACUCGUCUAGAACUGGUGGUGCACAAACGAUAAAGCAAGAACAUACCUUAAAGAAAAUAAGAACCGUUUCAUAAUUUAAUAAAGAUUAUUGACUUAUUAUUUAUCCCUUUACCUUUUUCCUUAAGAGGCCAGGAGAGAAUUACUAACUGAUAGCUAUCGGGCGCACAUUAUACAUAAUUCCAUAACAAGAACCACCCGUAAUUUAAUUAAGGUAUGCGAAGAUUAGCCAGAGGUAGGAUGGAGUAGAAGAGGUAUUUGUAACAUCCGUUACAAAAUGACACCCAAAAACGGGGCUUACGUAUUAGAGUGUUCUGGAGAAGCGAUGAAAAUAACGGGAAGGACACACAAACAGGAAUUGAUGCUUCACUUGACCUUCACUGUGGAAUACUGUUUGUUGAAAUCUAAGAACCUCGUGCGUUGCCGGAUGUUUCUACUAUCGUUCUGUAUUUUAGUUCAAAAAGGUAUUUGGGCAUUUGCUUUUAUGCUUUCAGAGAAAUGUAUGUAUCUGUGCCACUAAAUUACAUUCCCAACAGUUUCUUUUUGAAUCAAACAGCAUAGAUAAAAAAGGUUUUGUAUAAUAUAAAAAAUCUAUAAAAGUAUAAUCAGCAUUGUUACAGACUCGCUUCAGAAGCUUCUUGCGAUACGACCGAUGUCUGAGACUGAUUAGGGCAACUGCUUUUCCUUCUGCACACCCGCUUCCUCUUCCUUGAACAACUUCGUCUGCGCAUCCUUCUUUUUCUUCGUUUGCAAGUACGCCUCUUUAUUUUCCGUUUGCAUUUGCGUCGUCUCUUCUGUAACUUACAUCUGAGCUUUCUUCUGCCAGUCUUGCACCUAGUUCGAAAAGGUUUAGCAGCCCUUCCGGCUUGUAUAGCUCUGCACUGGUACUUUCUUCUUUGACAGGCACUCAUAUUACACCAUCUCCGAGCGCCCUCCAAUGUUAACUUACAAGAUAGCCACGUAGGGUAUUUCUGACGCAGCUCUUUUAAAAAAUUUAAAAAAGGAUUUUUUGAAAAGCGGGAGUUUUUUCGUCUUUUACAGAUUAUAUUUGUGCCCCUCUUUCUACAUCUACGUUUGCAUGCCAUAAUUUCGAAAUAAAACUCGCGGAAAAGUCAAACUAAAAUUUUGAAGUUAGCAAAACAAUUUUGUUUCAUAAGUUAGUAACGCCCAGACGAUUACGUAGUUUCACAAAUUUCCCAUGCAAGUUACAAAGUCUGUCCAUGGUUACCACUUUAUUUACCAAGGAUACGUAGCAUGUCCGGAGAAAUACAGACAUUUACACGUCGAUAUUUCAGAAAGAAGAGAAAUGUGCAAGAAUUCGAAAUCUGAAAUAAAAUGGACAACUUGGGGUUCACGAUUUCCAAGCAAGGUAUAGGCAUUUUCGGGUUUCAAAACACCCAUUUUUUUAAUACUAGUGCUUUUGAUUACUUAAAAGGAGCGCAGUUCUAGGGUGUACUCAAGCAAUAAAUGGCUUGAGUAAUAAACUAAUAAUUACAUAUUACAAGAGAGAAAAUUUUGAAGACAAAAAUGACAUGAAAGCCUGUUGCUUGGCAAAUUCGCAAAUGACAUUUGUAAAAUGAAUGCCAUCACGAUACACUUACACACGGUAUGCUCAUUAUUUUUCUCAAACGCGUUUUCUACUGCGCAUUACGUCACCUGCGAACGUGUGGCGCCAAAAUUCAAGUGUUUACGCACGGAAAAAUCCAGUACAGAUGUCACGCGUGACAGUUUGCACCUUUUCAGUUGUAUUUACGAGUUUUAUAGCGUUAAUUUGUUGAUAGCUAAGCAUUAAUGUGUUGAUAGCUAAGUAAUCAUUAGUGAAAAUUCCAAAAUGCCAGGUUGUGUGUGGAAAUAAAAUAGGUACUUUCGAUUUCCGAAAAUUGAAGACUUUUCUCUAAAAUGGAUUGUUGCAAGUCGUCGUAAGGACAAAAUUACCUUGAAAAAUGGUGUUACAUUAUUAUUAAGUGGUGUGUUUAAGUCUUUCCAUUGCUGUUUAAUCCUAUAUCCUGUAUUUGUUAUGAACAUUUUGAAGCCAGCCGUUUUGAAGCACCGCUAAGGGAACGACUUCUUAAUUAGACCUACUUUUAAAAACAGCGGAUGUUUGAAACCUGAUGCUUUACCUACUUUAAAACUACCGCGUAAUAAUGAAAAUCAAAAUAAAAGGGACACGGAGGAGAGAUUAGAUCUUUUGAUAACGCAUUAAUUAUAUAAUUUUUACUGAAACAGCCGCAUUUCAUGUUUAGGAUCAAUUUUGGUUAGAGUUUAUUUCACACGAUCACGAAAUCCCAGAAAUAACUUACGCGAGGAUCUCUACACAAAUCAGUAUGAUUUGUCAACUAACCUUGUGAUUUGUCGAUCUAGCAUCGUAAUUUUGCUCUAUAUUCUGUGGUUUUGUUCGCACGUGACGUCACGCUAGAUG